CUCUCUCAAUCAAAAAUAAAUAAGCGUUUAAAAUUUUUUAAUAAAAAAGAAAUGUUUGUUGGGUGAAUGACAACUGCGGGAACUCUCCAGGGAUCCCCUUUAGUCUCCACAGAAACUCUCCAGGAAUCUUCUCCCUGGGGCGAUCUCAAUGGAUCUUUGGUGAUCCCCUGAUGAUACAGCCUCAGUGGAUUCUCAGGACCCCUGUGCUGCAUAGCCUGAUGAACCCUCCUGAGAUCCUGUCCUUACACGACCUCGGAGAAUCUCCAGAGAUCUAAUAAAGUUUCAGUGGAUCCUCAGGGGCUCCUUCCUGACACGGCCUCAGGCAGUCUCAUGGGAUUCUCUCCUGGUGGAGCUCAGGAAGGCCCCAGGGAUUUCUCUCUGCUGUACAGCCCGGAGGCCUCAGAAAUCCCCCUAGGAGACUGGCUCCUAACAGUAUCAGGGGUCCCCUACAGACAUCACUGGAGACCUUAGGGGUUUUCAGCGGCUUUUCCGGCUUGUUGCAAGAGUCUGCAAGGUGACGGGGCAAAGAUGAUGGAAGUAGAAUUUACAUAGAAAAAUGGACAGUAGUUAGCAACUGGUUGGAUGCAAUUAUGACAUCUUAGAUCGGUUAUCCCCGUAGCUUGAGGAUGCUUGCCCGCCUCACAUCUCUUAGGAGAAGGAGCCAGACCAAUACCAAGGUUGAUGAAGGCUUCAAGACCCACUGAGCAAAAGAGCUAGCAGUGCCACGACAGGAACAGGAGAGCAAGAGGUCAGCCUGUUUGCAGCCUAGGUGUACGACUGCUUGAGGAUGAACUGGGUUGAUGUCACAGAGAUGGAGUGUAUUCAGCUGUUAUAUUAUUUAUGACUCUCCGGAUGUCGACGAAAUAUUGACAACACGUGAUGAUUACGGAGCCUCCACUGCUGUGUCCGUGAGCAGACUCUUGGAAAAGCCUGCAUUCGUGCGACAAUGAAUGAGCGAUGAGCUACCUGGUGGACCGGCCCGGACUCUCGUCCUAGAGGCUUUAGAACCUCGGUCAACACACCCUUCUCAGGUCACGGCUGCUGUGCUUGUCCACAUACCAUCAAAACUGGGCAGAGAGGCAGGCUCAGGCCAUCGGGAGUUGCCUGAGGCCCACCCACGCUGGGAAGAGGGUCUGCUUUGCUGGGCCUGCCAAUUCAAAUUCAAAUUUCAUCUGGAAACACCAUCACAGAUAUACCCAGAAUGAUACUCAAUCUGGGCACCCCACGGCCAGUCAAACUGACACAAAAAAUUACCCAGCCCCCAGUAAGCCUCCUACAGGAGCAAUUCCUCAAAUCCACCGUCUCAGAUGAGACAAAUGUCCCCAAGCUCAGGCUUGCUGCCUCAUGGUCACAAGAUGGUGUCACAACUCCAUCUAUCAUGUGCUCCUGCCAGUAUCCCAGCCAGAAAGGGAGGGAAGG
This is a long non-coding RNA of Prionailurus viverrinus (fishing cat), 1419 nucleotides long. RefSeq lists it as uncharacterized. The transcript has 4 exons. Lineage: Eukaryota; Metazoa; Chordata; Mammalia; Carnivora; Felidae. The record is from RefSeq and is a predicted model, not a curated record.